Molecule: non-coding RNA, 629 nt
Filed under: Linnemannia elongata AG-77
Lineage: Eukaryota; Fungi; Mortierellomycota; Mortierellomycetes; Mortierellales; Mortierellaceae
Description: Mortierella elongata AG-77 Eukaryotic large subunit ribosomal RNA
Rfam family: Eukaryotic large subunit ribosomal RNA
Source: Rfam by way of RNAcentral
AGGAGUGGUUGAGGAAGACAAUCUAUGAUCCUGUGACCAAACGAUUCAUUCAUGCAUCUAAAUGCCUUGAUUCAUCCAACACAAACCUUAAUUUACUGCGGCGUAAAAGAUGGUACUUAUCCCUUCAAUGUCGGCCCUUCUUAUCACACCGAAGCAGAGUUCAGUAAUCGUUGGAUUGUUCACCCAUUAAUAGGGAACAAGACCUGGGGUUUAGACCGUUCGUGAGGUAAGUUAGUUUUUCCUUACUGAUGAAAUGUUGUUGCAAUAGUAGUUGAACUCAGUCCGAGAGGAACCGUCGAUUCAGAUAAUUGGUAUUUGAGCCUGCCUGAGUAGGCAAUGGCCCGAUGCAAUCAUCUGUCGGACUAUGACUGAACGCCUCUAUAUCAGGACCCGUGCUAGAACGCGACGAUUACCGCCUUUCCUGAUUUUUUGUUGAAUAAGAAUAAAUCUUCGGAUCCUGAAUCAUACUACAUGAGGUUCAUCUUGCAAAAUAGAAAGGCUUUAAGAUACUCAUGCUAUAGUUAAUUUCAAAUAUUGGAAGAGAUAUAACAUCCAUUGCAGACGACUUUAACUGAACGAGGUAUGCUUGCUACAAUCUGCUGAGAUUAAGCCAAUUGUUCUAUAGAUUU